RNAcentral lists this ribosomal RNA (465 nucleotides) under uncultured bacterium. Its description in RNAcentral is "partial 16S ribosomal RNA". It matches the Rfam family "Bacterial small subunit ribosomal RNA", at positions 28 to 507 of the family's 1533-position model. The record is from RNAcentral.
GACGAACGCUGGCGGCGUGCUUAACACAUGCAAGUCGAACGGAAAGGCCCUGCUUGCAGGGUACUCGAGUGGCGAACGGGUGAGUAACACGUGGGUGAUCUGCCCUUCACUUCGGGAUAAGCCUGGGAAACUGGGUCUAAUACCGGAUAGGAGCCAUUUUUAGUGUGAUGGGUGGAAAGUUUUUUCGGUGUAGGAUGAGCUCGCGGCCUAUCAGCUUGUUUGUGGGGUAAUGGCCUACCAAUGCGGCGAAGGGUAGGCGGCCUGAGGGGGUGGACGGCCCCAUUGGGACUGUGAUACGGCCCCGAUGCCUGAUGGUCGCAGUAGGGGGGAAUAUUGCAAAAAGAGCGGGAGCCUGAUGGAGCGAACCCGCGUGGGGGAGGACGGCCCUCGGGUUGUAAGCUCCGUUCGCUAGGGUCGAAGCUUUUUGUGACGGUACCUAGAGAAGAAGCACCGGCUAACUACGUG